CGCCAAGGAGUCUAACAUGUGCGCAAGUCAUUGGGUGAUAAAACCUAAAGGCGUAACGAAAGUAAAGAAAGCUUUGCUUUAUAAGGAAGGAUGAUUAUAUUUUACUGUAUAUUGUUAAAAAAGAACACUUAAAAAAAAUACAGAUAGAUUAAAAAUACAUAGUUAAACAAAACUUGUACAUAUAACAUAUACAUAUUUCAUAUAUAAUCCGCACUUUCGGAGUGUCUGUUACUCAUUGCGAGUUAAGACGCACCAAGAGCGCACACGUUGGGUCCCGAAAGAUGGUGAACUAUGCCUGGCCAGGAUGAAGCCAGAGGAAACUCUGGUGGAGGUCCGUAGCGAUUCUGACGUGCAAAUCGAUCGUCAGAGCUAGGUAUAGGGGCGAUAGACCGAUCGAACCAUCUAGUAGCUGGUUCCCUCCGAAGUUUCCCUCAGGAUAGCUGGUACUUAUGAUAAAAAGAGUCUCAUCCGGUAAAGCGAAUGAUUAGAGGCCUUGGGGCCGAAACGACCUCAACCUAUUCUCAAACUUUAAAUGGAUGAGAGCCUUGGCUUGCUUAAAAAAUGAAGCCAGGGACUUGGAUCAAAGUGCCAAGUGGGCCAAUUUUGGUAAGCAG
RNAcentral lists this ribosomal RNA (614 nucleotides) under Ogeriinae sp. 1 AK-2015. Its description in RNAcentral is "eukaryotic LSU rRNA". It matches the Rfam family "Eukaryotic large subunit ribosomal RNA", at positions 666 to 1147 of the family's 3401-position model. Lineage: Eukaryota; Metazoa; Arthropoda; Insecta; Hemiptera; Schizopteridae. The record is from RNAcentral.